This 239-nucleotide long non-coding RNA is filed under the name Vigna radiata. RNAcentral's name for it is "long non-coding RNA (VRAD_LNC006025)". Lineage: Eukaryota; Viridiplantae; Streptophyta; Magnoliopsida; Fabales; Fabaceae. The record is from RNAcentral.
GGAUGCGUGGAUGAUGUUGGGAUGCGAGAGGACGCUACGAUGGAGACGAUGGAUGCGUGGAUGAUGUUGUUGCAGAGAGACGAUGGAGCUCAUCCUGAGUGGUGAUGCACCAUGUUUAAUCUCUGACGAUGGCAGUGGAAUGGAUAGCGGCCCAAAUUUUGCAAUUUUGGAUUAGGGUUUUUGAAUUUGGGUUUUUGUUUGAUCUGAGUUUGGGUUCCUUUAUGAGUUGAAAUCCCGGC